UGGCUAAGUGAGAGGUAAUAAAAUCCAAGUGCUUCCCACAUCUUGCUCCUUAUCAAUCUCCAAGCAAUUGCUUUAGAAAUUGACCACCUGCCAGCUAUUCAGAGGCUUAAAUGCAGUGGUCUCGGUUCACUUCUUGCGGGCAGCUUUACACAUUCCCCAGCCCAGCUGACUUGUUCUCCUUCACUGAAUUGCAGGGGAGAAAUAUGGAACAUUUUUGGAAUAAAAUGGUUCACUUUACAAGAAACUUGGUUUCUGCCUCUGGUUUGCUUGUCCUUCCAUUCUUCUUCCAGACAAUAGCAUUGCAAAUCCCUCCAGGUUACUCUGAGUGACUGGGCAGGAGGAUGUCCUCCCCCUGAGUUCCUAAAGUACUUCCGGAUGCCCUACUCAGUUGACCUCUAACGGUGCCCUUUGGCAUAGUUUCGUAUUGUUCUACUUUUCAUAGCACAGCUUUCUACCCUUAGCUCAAGGGUGUCAUAAAUAUGAGUCUGCCCUACAUUCCUUUGACUAGUUCAGAUUGAGGCCCAGUACAUCAUUUUGUCUAAUUUAAGAGUGUUCAUAAAGGCUGGGAACUUAAGUGAAAAAUACAUAAUGCCCUCAAGGAUAGUUUCAAUCUGUAAUACAUACAGAUGUUGUUCAUUUAUUUAUUAAUAUUAUCUGUGUGCAUAAGUUUGAAAAAAGUCCCUAACUAUGGUUUAGAGAGUAAACAGUGAGCUCAAAAGUCUACUGCGUAAUUACUCUGCCAUUUUCUCAGGUUUGAAAUGCUUGUUGUGGACCCCCUUGUGUGUAAAAAUGUCACUGAUGCAUUGAGUAUAAUAGCAAAAAUAAAAUUUAAAAACCUACUAAAUAUCCCUCAGAUGGAGAAUAAAUAAAUUAGCCAUAGUCAUAGUCAUACAGGAAAAUAUUAUCCUGAAGUUAUAAUGAGUGAUAGAAUACUAAGCUUCUGCAAAUAAAUUAAAGAGAUGUGUAUCAAUCUGGAUUCUCUUCACAAGCAGGUUGAGCAAGAGAACAAA
RNAcentral lists this long non-coding RNA (1010 nucleotides) under Marmota monax (woodchuck). The record is from RNAcentral. Lineage: Eukaryota; Metazoa; Chordata; Mammalia; Rodentia; Sciuridae.